RNAcentral lists this ribosomal RNA (691 nucleotides) under uncultured Bacteroidales bacterium. Its description in RNAcentral is "bacterial SSU rRNA". It matches the Rfam family "Bacterial small subunit ribosomal RNA", at positions 44 to 724 of the family's 1533-position model. Lineage: Bacteria; Pseudomonadati; Bacteroidota; Bacteroidia; Bacteroidales. The record is from RNAcentral.
AGGCUUAACACAUGCAAGUCGAGGGGCAGCAUGGUCUUAGCUUGCUAAGGCCGAUGGCGACCGGCGCACGGGUGAGUAACACGUAUCCAACCUGCCGUCUACUCUUGGACAGCCUUCUGAAAGGAAGAUUAAUACAAGAUGGCAUCAUGAGUCCGCAUGUUCACAUGAUUAAAGGUAUUCCGGUAGACGAUGGGGAUGCGUUCCAUUAGAUAGUAGGCGGGGUAACGGCCCACCUAGUCUUCGAUGGAUAGGGGUUCUGAGAGGAAGGUCCCCCACAUUGGAACUGAGACACGGUCCAAACUCCUACGGGAGGCAGCAGUGAGGAAUAUUGGUCAAUGGGCGAGAGCCUGAACCAGCCAAGUAGCGUGAAGGAUGACUGCCCUAUGGGUUGUAAACUUCUUUUAUAAAGGAAUAAAGUCUGGUAUGGAUACCCGUUUGCAUGUACUUUAUGAAUAAGGAUCGGCUAACUCCGUGCCAGCAGCCGCGGUAAUACGGAGGAUCCGAGCGUUAUCCGGAUUUAUUGGGUUUAAAGGGAGCGUAGAUGGAUGUUUAAGUCAGUUGUGAAAGUUUGCGGCUCAACCGUAAAAUUGCAGUUGAUACUGGAUAUCUUGAGUGCAGUUGAGGCAGGCGGAAUUCGUGGUGUAGCGGUGAAAUGCUUAGAUAUCACGAAGAACUCCGAUUGCGAAGGCAG